Etheostoma cragini (Arkansas darter) is the source of this 297-nucleotide long non-coding RNA. RefSeq lists it as uncharacterized. Lineage: Eukaryota; Metazoa; Chordata; Actinopteri; Perciformes; Percidae. The record is from RefSeq and is a predicted model, not a curated record. The transcript has 2 exons.
CUGGAGGAUCUUGGAGAGAAAGGGGAGCUUAGAUAUAGGUCUGUAGUUUGCUAAAACCUCAGGAUCGAGGGUGUUUUGUUUCAGAAAAGGUUUUAUCACAGCUACUUUAAAUGACUGCGGUACAUAACCUGGUAAUAAAGACAUAUUGAUCAUAUCUAAUAAUAAAGUGUUAACCACAGGUAAUGCUUCUUUAAGUAGCCUCGUUGGGAUGAGGUCUAAGAGACAGGUCUAUGGCUUAGCUGAACAUACUUUUAACAUUAAUUAUUGCAGGUCUAUAGGAUAAAAGCAGUCUAAGUA